UGAGAAUUAAAAGUUGAAGCUCAGGCCAC
This 29-nucleotide non-coding RNA is filed under the name Homo sapiens (human). Lineage: Eukaryota; Metazoa; Chordata; Mammalia; Primates; Hominidae. The record is from RNAcentral.